GGAUUGUGGCUCAGUGGUACAGCACUUGCCUAGCAUAUGUGAGGCACUGGGUUCAAUUCUCAGCACCA
RNAcentral lists this transfer RNA (68 nucleotides) under Marmota monax (woodchuck). RNAcentral describes it as "tRNA.Ala". The record is from RNAcentral. Lineage: Eukaryota; Metazoa; Chordata; Mammalia; Rodentia; Sciuridae.